CAAAGGCUUGGUCCUGACUUUAUUAUCAACUUUAGCCGAGCUUACACAUGCAAGUAUCCGCACCCCUGUGAGAAUGCCCUCAGUCCCCUGCCUGGGGACAAGGAGCUGGUAUCAGGCACACUUCUAGCCCAUGACACCUUGUUUAGCCACACCCUUAAGGGAACUCAGCAGUGAUAGAUAUUAAGCCAUAAGUGAAAACUUGACUUAGUAAAAGCUAAGAGGGCCGGUAAAACUCGUGCCAGCCACCGCGGUUAUACGAGAGGCCCAAGUUGAUUUUCUACGGCGUAAAGAGUGGUUAGGGAACGAUUACCAUUAAAGCCGAAUGUUUUCAAGGCUGUUAUACGCACCAGAAAACAAGAAGUUCAACCACGAAAGUGGCUUUAUUAAACCCUGAACCCACGAAAGCUAGGGGACAAACUGGGAUUAGAGACCCCACUAUGCCUAGCCGUAAACAUUGAUAGACUAACACAACCCCUAUCCGCCCGGGUACUACGAGCACCAGCUUAAAACCCAAAGGACUUGGCGGUGCUUUA
This 533-nucleotide ribosomal RNA is filed under the name Pleuragramma antarctica (Antarctic silverfish). Its description in RNAcentral is "partial 12S ribosomal RNA". It matches the Rfam family "Bacterial small subunit ribosomal RNA", at positions 7 to 923 of the family's 1533-position model. Lineage: Eukaryota; Metazoa; Chordata; Actinopteri; Perciformes; Nototheniidae. The record is from RNAcentral.